GUGAGACAGGUGCUGCAUGGCUGUCGUCAGCUCGUGUUGUGAAAUGUUGGGUUAAGUCCCGCAACGAGCGCAACCCUUAUCCUUUGUUGCCAGCGGUCCGGCCGGGAACUCAAAGGAGACUGCCAGUGAUAAACUGGAGGAAGGUGGGGAUGACGUCAAGUCAUCAUGGCCCUUACGACCAGGGCUACACACGUGCUACAAUGGCAUAUACAAAGAGAAGCGACCUCGCGAGAGCAAGCGGACCUCAUAAAGUAUGUCGUAGUCCGGAUUGGAGUCUGCAACUCGACUCCAUGAAGUCGGAAUCGCUAGUAAUCGUGGAUCAGAAUGCCACGGUGAAUACGUUCCCGGGCCUUGUACACACCGCCCGUCACACCAUGGGAGUGGGUUGCAAAAGAAGUAGGUAGCUUAACCUUCGGGAGGGCGCUUACCACUUUGUGAUUCAUGACUGGGGUGAAGUCGUAACAAGGUAACCGUAGGGGAACCUGCGGUUGGAUCACCUCCUUA
Molecule: ribosomal RNA, 504 nt
Filed under: Citrobacter koseri
Lineage: Bacteria; Pseudomonadati; Pseudomonadota; Gammaproteobacteria; Enterobacterales; Enterobacteriaceae
Description: bacterial SSU rRNA
Rfam family: Bacterial small subunit ribosomal RNA
Source: RNAcentral